CCUACGGGUGGCAGCAGUGAGGAAUAUUGGUCAAUGGGCGGGAGCCUGAACCAGCCAAGUCGCGUGAGGGAAGACGGUCCUAUGGAUUGUAAACCUCUUUAGGCGGGGAGCAAUGCCGGGCACGCGUGCCCGGAGGGAGAGUACCCGCAGAAUAAGCAUCGGCUAACUCCGUGCCAGCAGCCGCGGUAAUACGGAGGAUGCGAGCGUUAUCCGGUUUUAUGGGGUUUAAGGGGUGCGAAGGCGGUCUGUUAAGUCAGCGGUCAAAGCCCGGGGCACAACCCCGGCCCGCCGUUGAAACUGGCAGUCGUGAGUGGGAGAGAGGUAUGCGGAAUGAGGGGUGUAGGGGUGAAAUGCUUAGAUAUCGCGCAGAACUCCGAUUGCGAAGGCAGCAUGC
This 394-nucleotide ribosomal RNA is filed under the name uncultured bacterium. RNAcentral's name for it is "partial 16S ribosomal RNA". It matches the Rfam family "Bacterial small subunit ribosomal RNA", at positions 338 to 729 of the family's 1533-position model. The record is from RNAcentral.